Molecule: ribosomal RNA, 468 nt
Filed under: uncultured bacterium
Lineage: Bacteria
Description: partial 16S ribosomal RNA
Rfam family: Bacterial small subunit ribosomal RNA
Source: RNAcentral
GACGAACGCUGGCGGCGUGCUUAACACAUGCAAGUCGAACGGAAAGGCCCUGCUUUUGUGGGGUGCUCGAGUGGCGAACGGGUGAGUAACACGUGAGUAACCUGCCCUUGACUUUGGGAUAACUUCAGGAAACUGGGGCUAAUACCGGAUAGGAGCUCCUGCUGCAUGGUGGGGGUUGGAAAGUUUCGGCGGUUGGGGAUGGACUCGCGGCUUAUCAGCUUGUUGGUGGGGUAGUGGCUUACCAAGGCUUUGACGGGUAGCCGGCCUGAGAGGGUGACCGGCCACAUUGGGACUGAGAUACGGCCCAGACUCGUACGGGAGGCAGCAGUGGGGAAUAUUGCACAAUGGGCGGAAGCCUGAUGCAGCAACGCCGCGUGGGGGAUGACGGCCUUCGGGUUGUAAACCGCUUUCGCCUGUGACGAAGCGUGAGUGACGGUAAUGGGUAAAGAAGCACCGGCUAACUACGUG